UACGAAGGGUGCUAGCGUUGUUCGGAAUCACUGGGCGUAAAGCGCGCGUAGGCGGCUAUCCAAGUCAGAGGUGAAAUGCCGGGGCUUAACCCCGGAACUGCCUUUGAAACUGUUUAGCUUGAGACUCGGAGGGGAUAGGGGAAUUUCUAAUGUAGCGGUGAAAUGCGUAGAUAUUAGAAGGAACACCGGUGGCGAAGGCGCCUAUCUGGACGAGUACUGACGCUGAGGCGCGAAAGCGUGGGGAUCAAACAGG
This 253-nucleotide ribosomal RNA is filed under the name uncultured bacterium. RNAcentral's name for it is "partial 16S ribosomal RNA". It matches the Rfam family "Bacterial small subunit ribosomal RNA", at positions 524 to 776 of the family's 1533-position model. The record is from RNAcentral.